GUCCGCAUCCGGCUUCCCAGUCCACGCUCUCUGACCAUUGGCUGAGCCUCCUGUUCAUCAUGUCUUGGAGCCAGCCCUACUCCCUCGUUGGAGCAAUUGGGUGGCCGUCAAAAUCUAGUUUCCUAUUGGCUGAAGCUCCUGCUCCCCGGGUUCCAACCCGAUCAGUGGCCUGUGCGGCCUUCUAGGCAUUGGCUGGGAGGUGAGAAGGGAGAGCAUUCCAGGCAGAGGGGACUGCCUGGGCAAAGGCUGGGCAACCAAUGAUGGAGCGUCUUGCGGAACAGCUGUAGGCCAGUUUGGCCAGUCUGCAGAACGCAUGGAGGAAGCUGAAACCUAAGAAGGAGGCGGGCUGCAGAGGAGCAGUGACUUGGGGGCAAUAGGGAGCCAGGGGUGUUCCAUGACUGUCCGGCAGCUCUGUAGAUGUAUGUCCGCCGCAGCUGGCGGCUGGGAGUAAAGCGCCAGACCCCAAAUGGCGAUCCUAAGAGCCCCUGCUUCCCAGGGCUAUGCUCUAGGUCUGAGAUGACUGUAGAGGAAAGAGAGAGAAAGAACAGAAGAAUUUUUCUGGUGAGAAUGGUUCUUACUAUUUUAUAGUAAAGAGACCUUGUUCCUGUUGUGGCUGGAGAGAAAAUGGAGAAGACAGAGAGAUGGAAGAUGGAGAGGUUUUCUGAUGCAGCUGUUUUCACCCUCACCUUGUGAAGAGGAUUGUGGAAAACAGCCUGGAUUUGAUAUCUUGAGACAAACUGACAGCGAGAUUUGAGAUGACUGGCUGUCAUGUUUCUCCCAGAUUAAAUAUUGGAAAUUCAGUAGAGGGACUGGUCAGUGAAAGCCCAAUAUUUAAAGUGUGUGCGCUAUGAUCAGCUUGAUGCCAGCCCAAGUGGAGGUUGUGGACCUGGCUUCCAGAAAUGUGUAAUGAGGGUGGCGGCCCUUUGCCUGUCCUCUUCCGGGCCCGUCAGGGUGUCCUCUAUUUCCUGUUGGCUCACAAUGUGGAGGUAAAAAUUCUUUUAAUUGGUCCCUGAGUCAGAAUUAAGUGCAUAUACAAACGCUCAGACGGAUGAGCCACCCCUUUCUUCCCUGGGAAUGACUGAGGCAAGAACAGCCGGGAGUGGCUGGGUGGGAGAGCCCCUCUCUCUCCUGGUCACCAGGCACCCCUAUUGCUCCUUCCUGAUCUCAGGUCAAGGAGAAGCCGAGGCAGAGAUGACCGUGGCAUGACUUUGUGAGCUGUGGAAGAUCCCAAGUGACUUCAGAAGCCCAAGUGGAUCUGGAGCAGCCUCUGGGAGCUACAGCAUUGAUGCCACUGAGGGGCCAGCUCUGAGAAUUGACUUGCUUGGACAAGCCCAGCAGCAAAUCAUCUUGGCAGACCAGAUGCUGGGUUUUGUAAUAAAGGGAGCAGCUCUUCCA
RNAcentral lists this long non-coding RNA (1395 nucleotides) under Phascolarctos cinereus (koala). Its description in RNAcentral is "lncRNA (ENSPCIG00000035996.1)". Lineage: Eukaryota; Metazoa; Chordata; Mammalia; Diprotodontia; Phascolarctidae. The record is from RNAcentral.